Molecule: transfer RNA, 73 nt
Filed under: Planctomycetota bacterium
Lineage: Bacteria; Pseudomonadati; Planctomycetota
Also listed under: 1 other name
Description: tRNA-His
Rfam family: tRNA
About the family: Transfer RNA (tRNA) molecules are approximately 80 nucleotides in length. Their secondary structure includes four short double-helical elements and three loops (D, anti-codon, and T loops). Further hydrogen bonds mediate the characteristic L-shaped molecular structure. tRNAs have two regions of fundamental functional importance: the anti-codon, which is responsible for specific mRNA codon recognition, and the 3' end, to which the tRNAs corresponding amino acid is attached (by aminoacyl-tRNA synthetases). tRNAs cope with the degeneracy of the genetic code in two manners: having more than one tRNA (with a specific anti-codon) for a particular amino acid; and 'wobble' base-pairing, i.e. permitting non-standard base-pairing at the 3rd anti-codon position.
Source: RNAcentral
GUGGCUGUAGCUUAAUCGGUAGAGCAUCAGAUUGUGGUUCUGAGGGUUGGGGGUUCGAGUCCCCUCAGCCACC